This 510-nucleotide ribosomal RNA is filed under the name uncultured bacterium. RNAcentral's name for it is "bacterial SSU rRNA". It matches the Rfam family "Bacterial small subunit ribosomal RNA", at positions 9 to 484 of the family's 1533-position model. The record is from RNAcentral.
GAGUGUGAUCCUGGCUCAGAACGAACACUGGCGGCGUGGAUUAGGCAUGCAAGUCGAGCGGGAUUAACGUUCUUCAAUUCUUCGGAAAAGAAGUUCGUUAUGAGAGCGGCGAACGGGUGAGUAAUAUAUGGGUAAUUUGCCUUGAAGUUUGGGAUAGCCAUUGGAAACGAUGGGUAAUACCGAAUGUGCUCGGAGACCGCAUGGUCUCUUGUGUAAAGGUGGGGAUUCUUCGGAACCUGCCGCUUCUAGAUAAGCCCAUAUCCUAUCAGCUAGUUGGUAAGGUAACUGCUUACCAAGGCUUACGGGUAGCCGACCUGAGAGGUGACCGGCACACUGGGACUGAGACACUGCCCGACUCCUACGGGAGGCUGCAGUCGAGAAUCAUUGACAAUGCACGAAAGUGUGAUCAUGCGACGCCGCGUGGAGGACGAAGGCCUUCGGGUUGUAAACUCCUGUCCUGAGGGAGUAGUGUAGUUAGGGUANACCCUUUCUACUUGAUAGUACCUCAGA